GACGAACGCUGGCGGCGUGCUUAACACAUGCAAGUCGAACGGAAAGGCCCUGCUUUUGUGGGGUGCUCGAGUGGCGAACGGGUGAGUAACACGUGAGUAACCUGCCCUUGACUUUGGGAUAACUUCAGGAAACUGGGGCUAAUACCGGAUAGGAGCUCCUGCUGCAUGGUAGGGGAUGGAAAGUUUCGGCGGUUGGGGAUGGACGCGCGGCUUAUCAGCUGGUUGGUGGGGUAGUGGCUUACCAAGGCUUUGACGGGUAGCCGGCCUGAGAGGGUGACCGGCCACAUUGGGACUGAGAUACGGCCCAGACUCCUACGGGGGGCAGCAGUGGGGAAUAUUGCACAAUGGGCGGAAGCCUGAGGCAGCAACGCCGCGUGCGGGAUGACGGCCUUCGGGUUGUAAACCGCUUUAGCCUGUGACGAAGCGUGAGUGACGGUAAUGGGUAAAGAAGCACCGGCUAACUACGUG
RNAcentral lists this ribosomal RNA (468 nucleotides) under uncultured bacterium. RNAcentral describes it as "partial 16S ribosomal RNA". It matches the Rfam family "Bacterial small subunit ribosomal RNA", at positions 28 to 507 of the family's 1533-position model. The record is from RNAcentral.